This 270-nucleotide ribosomal RNA is filed under the name uncultured bacterium. RNAcentral describes it as "partial 16S ribosomal RNA". It matches the Rfam family "Bacterial small subunit ribosomal RNA", at positions 88 to 354 of the family's 1533-position model. The record is from RNAcentral.
ACGGCGACCGGCGCACGGGUGAGUAACACGUAUGCGACCUGCCCGUGGCAGGGGGAUAAGCGGAAGAAAUUCCGUCUAAUACCGCGUAAUAUCUUUCGGGGGCAUUCCUGAGGGAUUAAAGGAAGCGAUUCCGGCUACGGAUGGGCAUGCGGCGCAUUAGCUAGUCGGCGGGGUAACGGCCCACCGAGGCGACGAUGCGUAGGGGUUCUGAGAGGAAGGUCCCCCACACUGGUACUGAGACACGGACCAGACUCCUACGGGAGGCAGCAG